RNAcentral lists this ribosomal RNA (1300 nucleotides) under Clostridium perfringens. RNAcentral's name for it is "bacterial LSU rRNA". It matches the Rfam family "Bacterial large subunit ribosomal RNA", at positions 1613 to 2925 of the family's 2925-position model. The record is from RNAcentral. Lineage: Bacteria; Bacillati; Bacillota; Clostridia; Eubacteriales; Clostridiaceae.
AAAAGCGUCUAGAGAGAGAAGUAGUGCCCGUACCGCAAACCGACACAGGUAGGUGAGGAGAGAAUCCUAAGGCCGGCGGAAGAAUUACAGUUAAGGAACUCGGCAAAUUGACCCCGUAAGUUCGCGAGAAGGGGUGCCUACGAGAGUAGGCCGCAGAGAAUAGGCCCAAGCAAACUGUUUAGCAAAAACACAGGUCUCUGCUAAAGCGUAAGCUGAUGUAUAGGGGCUGACGCCUGCCCGGUGCUGGAAGGUUAAGGGGAACACUUAGCGCAAGCGAAGGUGUGAACUUAAGCCCCAGUAAACGGCGGCCGUAACUAUAACGGUCCUAAGGUAGCGAAAUUCCUUGUCAGGUAAGUUCUGACCCGCACGAAUGGCGUAAUGACUUGGGCACUGUCUCAACUGUAAAUCCGGCGAAGUUGUAGUGCGAGUGAAGAUGCUCGCUACCCGCGAUUGGACGGAAAGACCCCGUAGAGCUUUACUGUAGCUUAGCAUUGAGUUUUGGUAUUGUCUGUACAGGAUAGGUGGGAGACUAGGAAACCAGGGCGUCAGCCUUGGUGGAGUCAACCUUGGGAUACCACCCUGACAGUACUGAAAUUCUAACUGGCGGCCAUGAAUCUGGUCACAGGACAUUGUUAGGUGGGCAGUUUGACUGGGGCGGUCGCCUCCUAAAAAGUAACGGAGGCGCCCAAAGGUUCCCUCAGAACGGUCGGAAAUCGUUCGAAGAGUGCAAAGGCAGAAGGGAGCCUGACUGCGACACCCACAAGUGGAGCAGGGACGAAAGUCGGGCUUAGUGAUCCGGUGGUACCUCGUGGGAGGACCAUCGCUCAACGGAUAAAAGCUACCUCGGGGAUAACAGGCUGAUCUCCCCCAAGAGUCCACAUCGACGGGGAGGUUUGGCACCUCGAUGUCGGCUCGUCGCAUCCUGGGGCUGAAGUAGGUCCCAAGGGUUGGGCUGUUCGCCCAUUAAAGCGGCACGCGAGCUGGGUUCAGAACGUCGUGAGACAGUUCGGUCCCUAUCCGUCGCGGGCGUAGGAAAUUUGAGAGGAGCUGUCCUUAGUACGAGAGGACCGGGAUGGACUGACCUCUGGUGUACCAGUUGUUCCGCCAGGAGCACAGCUGGGUAGCUAAGUCGGGAAUGGAUAAACGCUGAAAGCAUCUAAGCGUGAAGCCAACCUCAAGAUGAGAUUUCCCAUAGCGUAAGCUAGUAAGAUCCCUUGAAGAACACAAGGUUGAUAGGUCGGGGGUGUAAGCAUGGUAACAUGUUCAGCUGACCGAUACUAAUAGAUCGAGGGCUUGACCA